GCUGGGCGCAGUGGCACGUACCUGUAAUCCCAGAAGCUCAGGAGGCUGAGGCAGGAGGGUCACAAGUUCAAACCCCAGCCUCAGCAAAAGUAAGGCACUAAGCAACUGAGUGAGAUCCUGUCUCUA
RNAcentral lists this small RNA (126 nucleotides) under Marmota monax (woodchuck). The record is from RNAcentral. Lineage: Eukaryota; Metazoa; Chordata; Mammalia; Rodentia; Sciuridae.